This is a long non-coding RNA of Syngnathus acus (greater pipefish), 2005 nucleotides long. RefSeq lists it as uncharacterized. Lineage: Eukaryota; Metazoa; Chordata; Actinopteri; Syngnathiformes; Syngnathidae. The record is from RefSeq and is a predicted model, not a curated record. The transcript has 2 exons.
CCAAAAUUUGGAGUGGAUUUACUUCUCAACCCUCUUGCUCAAAGAGAAACAGCCAUCCAGGCAACAUGAACAACAACAAUAACAACAGAGAGCGGGGCAAGAUGCCACCUGGACCCUUUGGAGGACUGUAUGGCAGAGUGGGCGUGGAAAGCAGAGCAUGAGGAGGAGGAGGAGGAGGGGAAAGAGGGGGGUAAAGGGUGCCUGGUGCCCUGUCGCUGAUAUGCCAUAAGGAUGGCAGGCACGUAAUGAUAGCAACUGUAGAAGGGGGGGCGAACAGAUGGCAAAGCUGGACUGGUGCCAAGGAAACGAAAACAUGACUGCACAUGGGAGAAUACUCACUAGUACCUCCCCCCUCCUCACACACUUGUUGAUGCGUCUACCCAUGUGGAAGAAUGACAGCACUUCAAAUGCGUCAAAGCCAUUGUCACUUCUGCCAUAAUGCCUGACUGCAGUCUUUUCUUUAAAAGGAAAAAAAAAAUCAUCGAAUGUGUCAAUAUCACUAAAUAUUCACUGUAGAGUGAGUGAGAGGGCCUACAGCAAAACAAAUGUGUCUGCCCUCAAUUUGACCUCCCAUCAUGCGGCAAAAGGCCAAAUAUCGACUCCUGCAUGCUUAUGGUCUUGGCUGUUGAAAAAUGUAUGUUUUCACAAACUUUAACCUUUGUUUUAACACGGUGGAAUAUUCUUGUGAUGAUAAAUAAAGCGGUUACCACAUGAAUUUGAACUUUUGGGGUAUUUCUAAUAAAAUUGAUUGAAACCCAACAUAUAUGCUUGAAAUUUAGUUUUUGUUUAUGUCUGUAAAUGUUCCGGCAAUAGGUUUUUAAUGCCAAGAGGAAUCCUGAAGAAGACGUUGAAUGUUUACGUACGUUUUUGGUUACCUAUUGUGAAAUCAUUCAUGUUUUCUCGAUUUGCAUGAUUGGCAGAAGGAUGAGAUGUUAGAAAACACUGUCAGAAGCUCUGCUAUAUGUAGAUAAAGACGACUUAUUUAAUCAUACUCUAUGUGUGGUUGGCUAGUCUGACGGGGGACGGGAAUCAAACGUACAUUUGAAUAAUAACAAUUAUAGCCUCAAAAUUGAGUCGCAUAGAGGCAGAAAUAAGCGAGACGAUUUGACUUGCGGAUCAGGCUCUGCAUAUCUGCAUGCUAAUUACAUGGUGAAAUGGGGGGGGUGGAAAGCGCCCCCCCCUUGCUUCUAUGCGCCAGACAGAGCAAGGGCGAGGGAGGGAAGACAUUGCAGACACGAGCAAGAAACAAGGGGAUGGGUGGCGCAACAAACGGACAAACAAACGAAGGAAUCAAACGGAGAUGCAGACGAGACCAGCCACUAAUUUGCCGUCGGCCUUUCUUUUACGGCACCCGGGAAACAAAGCGACCCAAAUGGAGGCGGCAGAAAGGAGCUGAGAACGAGGAAUGGGCAUUGGAGCGCCAUUGGAGGGGGACAUCUUAAAAUUAAAAUUAUUGAUUGAUCUUAAGGUUGCUUUGGGGGUUGCAGAUCGCUUUUGAGGAUGUAAUUAGUGCGGACUGGGGCCACGGCUGGGAUGGUAAUAGAUGACGUUGGAAUUCAUCAUGGCGAUUGGCCAUUAAUCUCCAUCUCAGAGGAGCAGGAUAUUAAAAAUUAUAAUUGGAGGGACAACAUUGAUGUAGAUGCUGUGUGUGUGUGUGUGUGUGUGUGUGUGUGUGUACAAUGGUGGAAGGCUGCUCUUGGAUGUUUUUCAAUAAUUGUCACCACGGGGGAAUCCUGUUGAGAAUUAGCUACUGAAUUUGCUGCUGAUUUGAAUUAUGAACUGUUCACCAUGCAGCUUGUAUGUAGUGCCAUGUCGCGUAUAAGUAAGUAAUAUGAUAAAGUCAACUAAUAUAUAUUACAAGACAAGUGGUUCUCUCUAUGUUAUUUCUUUUCUGUCCAUGUACUUGACUGGAUUAUACAUGUUUUCUGAAUUUAACAUGCAUAUCAAUGAUUUCCGACUUCUACAUACUGUCCAUAUGAAACAAAAAUAAAAUCCUCCUAUUUCA